RNAcentral lists this ribosomal RNA (468 nucleotides) under uncultured bacterium. RNAcentral's name for it is "partial 16S ribosomal RNA". It matches the Rfam family "Bacterial small subunit ribosomal RNA", at positions 28 to 507 of the family's 1533-position model. The record is from RNAcentral.
GACGAACGCUGGCGGCGUGCUUAACACAUGCAAGUCGAACGGAAAGGCCCUGCUUUUGUGGGGUGCUCGAGUGGCGAACGGGUGAGUAACACGUGAGUAACCUGCCCUUGACUUUGGGAUAGCUUCAGGAAACUGGGGCUAAUACCGGAUAGGAGCUCCUGCUGCAUGGUGGGGGUUGGAAAGUUUCGGCGGUUGGGGAUGGACUCGCGGCUUAUCAGCUUGUUUGUGGGGUAGUGGCUUACCAAGGCUUUGACGGGUAGCCGGCCUGAGAGGGUGACCGGCCACAUUGGGACUGAGGUACGGCCCAGACUCCUACGGGAGGCAGCAGUGGGGAAUAUUGCACAAUGGGCGGAAGCCUGAUGCAGCAACGCCGCGUGCGGGAUGACGGCCUUCGGGUUGUAAACCGCUUUCGCCUGUGACGAAGCGUGAGUGACGGUAAUGGGUAAAGAAGCACCGGCUAACUACGUG